Cordylochernes scorpioides is the source of this 73-nucleotide non-coding RNA. The record is from the annotation of a GenBank genome assembly. NCBI's taxonomy places the organism in Eukaryota, Metazoa, Arthropoda, Arachnida, Pseudoscorpiones, Chernetidae.
GUCCAGGGGCGGGAAUCGAACCCACACCCUUCUGCUUACCGGGCAGGUGAGUUGUCCACUCGGCUACCCUGGA